CUAAGUCAGGAAUCUGAUGUACAGUAGUUGUCGUUUGUUUAUGUAAUUUAUACGUGUUUCUCGUUUCUCGUUUUUUAUAUAGAUUAGACCGUUGGUUUUCCCGUUUGAAUGGUUUUACACUAAGUAAUUUUGGUGCCCUUUAUAGCUUGUUGUUCGAUGUGAGCCAAGGCUCCGUGUUGAAGGCCGUACAUUGACCUAUAAUGGUUUACUUUUAUAAAUUGUUAUUUGGAUGGAGAGUUGUCUCAUUGGCACUCACACCACAUCUUCCUAUAUCUAU
RNAcentral lists this long non-coding RNA (277 nucleotides) under Mytilus galloprovincialis (Mediterranean mussel). The record is from RNAcentral. Lineage: Eukaryota; Metazoa; Mollusca; Bivalvia; Mytilida; Mytilidae.